UGCAGACUGAUCAAAACUAGAGAACAUGGGAUGGGUUGAUUAAUAUUUCCGCUGAGGUUUGGCCAUACCAAUCAAUGCCCACUUCCUUAUAGGACUGAUUGACAAUGCUGUCUCUAUUAUUUCAUUUCCUAAGGUAUAGCCAAGACAUGCAAUUCGACCUCUAGCCCAAGGCACAUAGUUCUCAGAGGAUUUUCCACCUAGCCUGUCAGACGUUAACGUGUAGCUAUUUCUAAACUGCUUAUACCUGUCUAUUCCUUUCCAAACCUCCAUGACGUGUCUAGGGCUAGGAGUGGAUUUGACACUGGGUAUAAUAAGUUUCUGUACAUGUGUUCUCUCUGAAUAAAAGGCAUAAGCUAUAGCCACCCACUCUCUCACACUCUCUCUCUCUCACACACACACACACAACGUUUUAUCAGUCUCCCUAUCUUCACACACAGAAGAAACCUUGAGCUGAAGGGACCAUCAUUAGAAUUCUGAGAGAACACAUGUUAAUUUUUUUCUUUACCAGCCUGACUUAUGAGGGUGAGUCAAAAGCUCUGAGAUUUUUUGAAAAAGGGAACCCAGACAAUGUUAAAAGUAGCUAACUUUGUCCACUCCCUUUCUGUUUUCUCUCAUUCUCUGCAGCAGACAGGCGUGAUUUAAUUUGAUGGACUUGCGUCGUAGACUAGAGAAAAACCUAACUGGAACCUGCUGAAGCUAAGACAGCUGUCAUGAACAGGGAUUUAUAGACAUGCCAUUGGCAUGGCAACAGGGUUCUAGGUCUCAUUUUGGAGGUCAGGGGGAUUAGGAACAACUUUUCCCACUUCCUGCUGGGGGAUGCAGAGUUCUCCCUGUAGUCAAGGGGUCCUUCCUUAUAUAUCCUGCUCACAUGGCCUAGGGCAGGAACGGCAAGGAAUGAGAGCAACUCCCCCCUUUAAUCCCCCUCCUCCGUUGUUUUCAGAUAUUUUUAUUUUCUCUCCUUCGAAAGCUUCUCUCCAUUCUCUAAAUGCAUUGCGCUUAUUAUAGCAGGUAGAUCUCAGCAGGUCGUGUUUUGUGGUGUUGUAACAGCAAAGCUAUUCACGAAUGCAAAUGACCUCAUUAAGAACAGGAGUUACGGUGCUUUCGGGAAGUAUUCAGACCCCUUCAGAUUCAGAUUACACCCUUAUUCUAAAUCUAUUCGAUCGUUUUUUCCCCCUCAUCAAUCUAUACACAAUACCCCAUAAUAACAAAGCAAAAAAAAGUUAAACACAAAAUAACACAUUUACAUAAUUAUUCAGACCUUUUACUCAGUACUUUGUUUUUUGGCAGUGAUUACAGCCUCGAGUCUCCUUGGGUAUUUGGCACACCUGUAUUUGGGGUGUUUCUCCCAUUCUCAGGUUGAAUGGGGAGCGUUGCAGCUAUUUUCAAGUGUCUCCAGAGAUGUUCGAUCGGUUUUCAAGUCCGGGCUCUGGCUGGGCCACUCAAGGACAUUCAGAGACUUGUCCCGAAGCCACUCCUGUGUUGUCUUGGCUGUGUCCUUAGGGUCAUUGUCCUGUUGGAAGGUUAACCUUUGCCCCAGUCUGAGGUCCUGAACGCUCUGGAGCAGGUUCUCAUCAAUGAUCUCUCUCUGUGCUCUGUUCAUCUUUGCCUCGAUCCAGACUAGUCUCCCAGUCCCUGCCGCUGAAAACAUCAGAGACUUGUCCCGAAGCCACUCCUGCGUUGUCUUGGCUGUGUCCUUAGGGUCAUUGUCCUGUGCUGCCACCACCAUGCUUCACCGUAGGGAUGGUGCCUGGUUUCCUCCAGGCGUGAUGCUUGGCAUUCAGGCCAAAGAGUUCAAUCUUGGUUUCAUCAGACCAGAGAAUCUUGUUUCGCAUGGUCUGAGAGUCUUUAGGUGCUUUUGGCAAACUCCAAGAUGGUGGUCAUGUGCCUUUUACGUAGGAGUGGCUUCCCUCUGGUCACUCUACCACUAAGGCCUGAUUGGUGGAGUGCUGCAGAGAUGGUUGUCCUUCUGGAAGGUUUCUCCUAUCUCCACAGAGGAACUCUAGAGCUCUGUCAGAGGGACCAUCGGGUUCUUGGUCACCUCCCUGACCAAGGCCCUUCUCCCCUGAUUGCUCAGUUUGGCUGGGCGGCCAAUUCUAGGAAGAGUCUCUUGGUGGUUCCAAACUUCUUCCAUUUAAAAAUUAUGAAGGCCACUGUGUUCUUGGGGAGCUUUAAUGCUACAGACAUUUUUUGGUACCCUUCCCCAGAUCUGUGCCUUGACACAAUCCUGUCUCGGAUCUCUUAUGACAAUUCCUUUUACCUCAUGGCUUGGUUUUUGCUCUGACAUGCACUGUCAACUGUGGGACCUUAUAUGGACAGGUGUGUGCCUAUUCAAGUCAUGUCCAAUCAAUUAAAUUUACCACAGGUGGAAUCCAGUCAAGUUGUAGAAACAUCUCAAGGAUGAUCAAUGGAAACGGGAUGCACCUGAGCUCAAUUUCAAGUCUCAUAGCAAAGGGUCUGAAUACUUAAGUAUAUAAGGUUUUUCUGUUUUUUAAUUUUUAAUACAUUUGCUAAAACCUGUGAUUAUGGCGUAUGGUGUGUAGAUUCCUGAGGAUUUUUUUAUUGAAUCCAUUUUAGAAUAAGAUUGUAAUGUAACAAUGUGGAAAAAGUCAAGGGGUCUGAAUACUUUCCAAAGGCACUUUGUCCAUGUUUGGCUGCUUCCCCUGCGGUAAGAGAUUUAACGAAAGGAGACAUCACUGCCACUAUAAAUGUACACGCACUUACACACACACACAUGAGAUGUCAGCUGAGAGAGAGCAACAAGAAAUAUGUGUUUAUUUGAUGAUGUAUGCUCUGGGUCUGAAUCACUCCAUCCCUCUGUCUGCCUGGGCCUAUGGAGCCUCCUGUAGACUCACAACUAGAUGUAUAGAUGCUGACAGAUGGGACACCACGGUACGCAACGCCAUAACAAAACAGACAAGGGAUGGCAGCUGCUGUGACUGUCAUGUAUUUGUUUGUAGACCUUUUUAAUAAAGGCUCAUUAUAGAGCUAUUAGUUUCCCCCCUCUGCACAGUGAAACAGCAGUGAUGUGUGUUGGUUAGAGACAACCCAUAGGAAAUACUGUCUGUCUGUGGCUGCUCUUUUCCUGAAACGAUAGUUGCGUCUUGUCUCUUGCACACAGAGGCCCUGUAUUACAAUCAGUGAAUGUCUAAUCCAUCCUUAACCAAUGACGUGACGAUUUAUGAUUUGGGGGUGAAUGGCGAUGUGGGACAAGAUGUGUGGCGGACAUUUUAAACAUCAUCUCUAUUUCUUCCUGUUGUAUAAUGUUUAUACUCAUCGUCACGGGGAUGCACUAAUAGGAAAGGCAUAUACUUGUAUAUUUAUCACCCAACUGAAUAAAAAUGUUAAUCUCCCAACUUCAAAUCUGUAUUGGCAUGAUUUAUAUUACACCUUCCCUUAAUUAUGUUGCUUGUAAAAACCAAUAUUGCCUUGAUUAAUAAUCCAUAGCUCUGUCGAUGGGUUUGCAUUCUUUCAAUUCAGUUGAUGACUUUGCAUGCAUUUGUUUCCUCUCUGACUGAGCCUUGGCGGAACUAAAGAUGAAUAUUUCUAGUGUAUCAUCUCUCAACUUUUUUUUUCUCAAAUGCCCUCAAUUUAAUGUUGUUAGCACUGACCCUGAAGAAGGCACAUUGAUGCCGAAACGUCGGUGUUUUGUUUUUACCCAAUACUGGGAGGUUAUAUUUAUGGAGUGUGCGACUCUUUGUUUUUAUAGCACUGACAGCCAAGCAGCCGUCAUAUUUAUUCAUUCAAGACUGUGGUGGUAGAAGAUUAUCCCUUUAUUCAGGAGGAAAGACUCCGUCAGACUAUUAACUGUCAUCUCAUGACAUCCCACAAUGCAAUUCCAGCGUUCCUGAGCCUUCCUAAUACCCAGCCGAAUUCAGCAUACAUUUAAAGUAUACAUUCUCCCACACGUUUUAUAAAUUGGGUUGUUAGUGUGGUCUGAAACUGGUGUAGUUUUUGGCUGUUUUUUUUUGUUUUUCCUUUAAGAAGGAAAACAGCAGUAGAUCAGAUUAGUAGAUCAACAGCAUUUCUCGGAUGGUUUCCGUGGUGUAUGGUCCAUUUAAUUUUGGUGAGUAACAGUAAUACAUAUUCUCUUAGUCUCGCCCAAAGGCAGUAUCCUAUCCUCAGCUAAAGCAAAAACAAAUGAGUUACUUAGCUGAGCUCUGCAUCUAGAGCAUGGAAUGGCUCUUCAGUGCCCAUGUGUUAAACCAGAUGCCUUAAAUGAAGUAAGUUCAUUUUGGCUCUGAAAUGUUUGGGACCAUGUUUGGAAAUCGGCAGUGUUCAAAAAGCACCUGCUCUGCAUCCCUUCACCUUUCAGCUACUUUGUCUAAUUUAACAAGAUGUUGUAAUGGUAUUCUGAUUAUAUACAGGCAAUUUGAGUUGACCUGGGAGAUUCCAUUAAGUUUUAAGUUUUUUCCUUAACACAGCUGAAGUUGACUGACUUUUCUUUGUUCACAGAGGAACUAGGUAUGGCUGUUCAGAGGAACUAGGUAUGGCUGUUCAGAGGAACUAGGUAUGGCUGUUCAGAGGAACUAGGUAUGGCUGUUCAGAGGAACUAGGUAUGGCUGUUCAGAGGAACUAGGUAUGGCUGUUCAGAGGAACUAGGUAUGGCUGUUCAGAGGAACUAGGUAUGGCUGUUCACGGAGGAACUAGGUAUGGCUGUUCACAGAGGAACUAGGUAUGGCUGUUCACAGAGGAACUAGGUAUGGCUGUUCACAGAGGAACUAGGUAUGGCUGUUCACAGAGGAACUAGGUAUGGCUGUUAAGAGGAACUAGGUAUGGCUGUUCAGAGGAACUAGGUAUGGCUGUUAAGAGGAACUAGGUAUGGCUGUUCACAGAGGAACUAGGUAUGGAUGUUCACAGAGGAACUAGGUAUGGCUGUUCACGGAGGAACUAGGUAUGGCUGUUCACGGAGGAACUAGGUAUGGCUGAUCACGGAGGAACUAGGUAUGGAUGUUCACGGAGGAACUAGGUAUGGCUGUUCACGGAGGAACUAGGUAUGGAUGUUCACAGAGGAACUAGGUAUGGAUGUUCACAGAGGAACUAGGUAUGGCUGAUCACAGAGGAACUAGGUAUGGCUGAUCACGGAGGAACUAGGUAUGGCUGUUCACAGAGGAACUAGGUAUGGCUGUUCACAGAGGAACUAGGUAUGGCUGUUCACGGAGGAACUAGGUAUGGCUGUUCACGGAGGAACUAGGUAUGGCUGUUCACGGAGGAACUAGGUAUGGCUGUUCACGGAGGAACUAUGUAUGGCUGUUCACGGAGGAACUAUGUAUGGCUGUUCACGGAGGAACUAUGUAUGGCUGUUCACGGAGGAACUAUGUAUGGCUGUUCACGGAGGAACUAUGUAUGGCUGUUCACGGAGGAACUAUGUAUGGCUGUUCACGGAGGAACUAUGUAUGGCUGUUCACGGAGGAACUAUGUAUGGCUGUUCACGGAGGAACUAUGUAUGGCUGUUCACGGAGGAACUAUGUAUGGCUGUUCACGGAGGAACUAUGUAUGGCUGUUCACGGAGGAACUAUGUAUGGCUGUUCACGGAGGAACUAGGUAUGGCUGUUCACGGAGGAACUAGGUAUGGCUGUUCACAGAGGAACUAGGUAUGGCUGUUCACAGAGGAACUAGGUAUGGCUGAUCACAGAGGAACUAUGUAUGGCUGAUCACAGAGGAACUAUGUAUGGCUGUUCACGGAGGAACUAGGUAUGGCUGUUCACGGAGGAACUAGGUAUGGCUGAUCACGGAGGAACUAGGUAUGGCUGAUCACGGAGGAACUAUGUAUGGCUGUUCACGGAGGAACUAUGUAUGGCUGAUCACGGAGGAACUAUGUAUGGCUGAUCACGGAAGAACUAUGUAUGGCUGUUCACGGAGGAACUAUGUAUGGCUGUUCACGGAGGA
Molecule: long non-coding RNA, 5886 nt
Organism: Oncorhynchus keta (chum salmon)
Lineage: Eukaryota; Metazoa; Chordata; Actinopteri; Salmoniformes; Salmonidae
Exons: 5
Source: RefSeq, a predicted model, not a curated record